RNAcentral lists this ribosomal RNA (367 nucleotides) under uncultured Acidaminococcus sp. Its description in RNAcentral is "bacterial SSU rRNA". It matches the Rfam family "Bacterial small subunit ribosomal RNA", at positions 355 to 712 of the family's 1533-position model. Lineage: Bacteria; Bacillati; Bacillota; Negativicutes; Acidaminococcales; Acidaminococcaceae. The record is from RNAcentral.
UGGGGAAUCUUCCGCAAAUGGGGCGCAAGCCUGACGGAGCAACGCCGCGUGGGUGAAGAAGGGUUUCGACUCGUAAAGCUCUGUUGUCGGGGACGAAUGUCAGGACUCAGAAUAUGGGUUCUGAAUGACGGUACCUGACGAGGAAGCCACGGCUAACUACGUGCCAGCAGCCGCGGUAAUACGUAGGUGGCAAGCGUUGUCCGGAAUUAUUGGGCGUAAAGAGCAUGUAGGCGGGCUUUUAAGUCCGACGUGAAAAUGCGGGGCUUAACCCCGUAUGGCGUUGGAUACUGGAAGUCUUGAGUGCAGGAGAGGAAAGGGGAAUUCCCAGUGUAGCGGUGAAAUGCGUAGAUAUUGGGAGGAACACCAG